Molecule: long non-coding RNA, 151 nt
Organism: Priapulus caudatus
Lineage: Eukaryota; Metazoa; Priapulida; Priapulimorpha; Priapulimorphida; Priapulidae
Exons: 3
Source: RefSeq, a predicted model, not a curated record
UGGGUGAACAGCACCUCCCUGGCCAUCCGCAGAGAGUGCCGGUCUCCAACGAGUUCAUCGUAGUUCACAACGGCAUCAUCACAAACUAUAAGGACAUCAAAAAGUUCCUGGUGAAGCAAGGGCUUGGAGUUGAGUCGGAGACGACACGGAG